Molecule: long non-coding RNA, 656 nt
Filed under: Nicotiana benthamiana
Lineage: Eukaryota; Viridiplantae; Streptophyta; Magnoliopsida; Solanales; Solanaceae
Description: long non-coding RNA (NBEN_LNC010271)
Source: RNAcentral
UCUAAUAUAAGCUAAGAAUUUCAUAUCCCUCGUACUCGUGAGGCUCAAACCCCUUUUAAUGGCUUUUGUUAUAUUUCAAUCACACCAAAAAAAUAAAAAAAUAAAAAUAGCAGGGGAGGGAAUAAACCUGAAAUUGCUUUGAAUUUUUUUUAGAAGAAAAUAGCAGCUACAUGGACAGAAACGACCUACAGCUACGACCAGAUUUCAAAUCGGACAAAAUCUCAAAUACAAACUAGGAAGGAAUCUCAAAUCGGCAAGCGAACCUCGAUUUAACUGAACUCCAUUUUUAGAACUAAAAUCCGAAAUUGAAAGUGAAGAAAGUAGAACAUUUUUGUAUAUUUUUCUUUUUGAAAUUAAAAGAAGAAAAUUAAAAUCUGAAAAAUCUAAAUUACUAUUCUUUGAGUAAAAGGUAAUGGAGAUUUUUGAAUGUAUAAGAAGGUGAUGGUCAGUGGUAAAAAUGGUUAUUUUUGUCGGCGGUGGAGGAUGGCUGGAGGCGGCGAUGGGUGAUGGGCAGCAGAAUCGUCUUAGGAUUGAGUGGCUCGUUCCUCGAGUGUGUUGUUGCUGAUGGGUGUCUCUUAGCUUGAGGGAUUUUAGGCAGAAGUUUCUGGAGAGGAAGGGGUUAAAGGCGUGAAUGAUUCUUGGAGAAGAAGCCCAAA